RNAcentral lists this ribosomal RNA (468 nucleotides) under uncultured bacterium. Its description in RNAcentral is "partial 16S ribosomal RNA". It matches the Rfam family "Bacterial small subunit ribosomal RNA", at positions 28 to 507 of the family's 1533-position model. The record is from RNAcentral.
GACGAACGCUGGCGGCGUGCUUAACGCAUGCAAGUCGAACGGAAAGGCCCUGCUUUUGUGGGGCGCUCGAUUGGCGAACGGGUGAGUAACACGCGUGUAACCUCCCCUUGACUUUGGGAUAACUUCAGGAGACUGGGGCUAUUACCGGAUAGGAUCUCCUGCUCCAUGGUGGGGGUUGGAAAGUUACGGCGGUUGGGGAUGGACUCGCGGCUUACCGGCUUGUUGGUGGGGUAGUGGCUUACCAAGGCUUUGACGGGUAGCCGGCCUGGGAGGGUGACCGGCCACAAUGGGACUGAGAUACGGACCAGUCUCCUACGGGAGGCAGCAGUGGGGAAUAUUGCACAAUGGGCGGAAGCCUGAUGCAGCAACGCCGCGUGCGGGAUGACGGCCUUCGGGUUGUAAACCGCUUUCGCCUGUGACGAAGCGUGAGUGACGGUAAUGGGUAAAGAAGCACCGGCUAACUACGUG